ACCGGCUUGACGCCGGCAGUCCCCCGAGAGUCCUCAGCUUUACCUGUUAGUAACACGGGGCAAGGGUUGCGCUCGUUGCGGGACUUAACCCAACAUCUCACGACACGAGCUGACGACAACCAUGCACCACCUGUCACCGCUGUCCCCGAGGGGAAAGGUAUAUCUCUAUACCGGUCAGCGGGAUGUCAAGACCUGGUAAGGUUCUUCGCGUUGCUUCGAAUUAAACCACAUGCUCCACCGCUUGUGCGGGCCCCCGUCAAUUCCUUUGAGUUUCAGCCUUGCGGCCGUACUCCCCAGGCGGAGUGCUUAAUGCGUUAGCUGCGGCACAGAGGGAUUCGACUCCCCCCACACCUAGUGUUCAUCGUUUACGGCUAGGACUAC
Molecule: unclassified non-coding RNA, 381 nt
Filed under: uncultured bacterium
Lineage: Bacteria
Description: contains 16S-23S intergenic spacer region
Source: RNAcentral